RNAcentral lists this transfer RNA (75 nucleotides) under Candidatus Sungbacteria bacterium RIFCSPHIGHO2_02_FULL_49_12. RNAcentral's name for it is "tRNA-Ile". It matches the Rfam family "tRNA". Rfam says of the family: Transfer RNA (tRNA) molecules are approximately 80 nucleotides in length. The record is from RNAcentral. Lineage: Bacteria; Candidatus Sungiibacteriota.
GUGCGUGUAGCUCAACGGCAGAGCAGUCGGCUUAUAUCCGACCGGUUCUAGGUUCGAAUCCUAGCACGCGCACUA